This is an RNA transcript of Syzygium oleosum, 2205 nucleotides long. RefSeq lists it as uncharacterized. The transcript has 10 exons. The record is from RefSeq and is a predicted model, not a curated record. Lineage: Eukaryota; Viridiplantae; Streptophyta; Magnoliopsida; Myrtales; Myrtaceae.
UCCCUCCCCAAAACCCUAUUCUCUCUCUCUCUCUCUCUCGUCCACGCACCGCUCUGUUCAACGAUGGCCGCCGCCUUCGAAUUCGACGAGACCCCCGGCAACUACGACGAUGGCCACCGGCAGCCCCAGGCGCCGCCGCAGCCGGACGCCGGGUACGACCCGAACUUCGUGCCCGACUCCGUCAAGUCCUUCGUCGUCCACCUCUACCGCCACAUCCGCGAGAAGAACGUGUACGAGAUCCACCAGAUGUACGAGACCUCGUUCCAGACCCUCUCCGACCGCCUCUUCAAGGAGACCCCCUGGCCUUCCGUCGACGCCGUCGCCCACUACGUCGACAACGACCACGUCUUCUGCCUGCUCUACCGCGAGAUGUGGUUCCGGCACCUGUACGCCAGGCUCUCGCCGACGUUGAAGCAGCGGAUUGAUUCGUGGGACAAUUAUUGCAGUCUCUUUCAGGUAGUCUUGCAUGGGGUGGUGAAUAUGCAGUUGCCGAACCAGUGGUUGUGGGACAUGGUGGAUGAGUUUGUUUACCAGUUCCAGAGCUUUUGCCAGUAUAGGGCGAAGAUGAAGAGCAAGACUGAGCAGGAGAUUGCACUAUUGAGGCAGUAUGAUCAGGCUUGGAAUGUGUACGGUGUGCUCAAUUUUUUGCAAGCACUUGUGGAGAAGUCAAUGAUCAUUCAGAUCUUGGACCAGGAAAAGGAAGGCCUUGAACAAUUCACUGCCACUGAUGGGUAUGAUUACAAUGGUGGGAGCAAUGUGUUGAAGGUGCUUGGUUACUUCAGCAUGGUGGGAUUGCUACGAGUUCAUUGUCUCUUAGGUGACUAUCAGACUGGCUUAAAGUGUUUACUCCCAAUUGACAUUAGUCAACAAGGCGUUUAUACUAGUGUCAUUGGAAGCCACAUUACCACUAUUUAUCACUUUGGGUUUGCCAAUCUUAUGCUGCGGAGGUAUGUUGAUGCAAUUCGAGAGUUCAAUAAAAUUCUCUUAUACAUCUAUAAGACAAAGCAAUACCAUCAGAAGUCCCCACAGUAUGAACAGAUACUCAAGAAGAAUGAGCAGAUGUAUGCCUUGCUGGCUCUUUGUCUUUCACUUUGUCCCCAAGUAAAACUUGUUGAAGAGACUGUGAACUCUCAGUUGCGAGAGAAAUAUGGUGAAAAAAUGCUCAGAAUGCAGAGAUAUGAUGAUGAGGCUUUUGUCAUCUAUGAUGAGCUCUUCUCAUAUGCCUGUCCUAAGUUCAUCACACCCUCAUCUCCAAGCUUUGAGGAGCCUCUUGUAAACUACAAUCAGGAUGCCUAUAGACUUCAGUUGAAGCUUUUCCUUUAUGAAGUGAAGCAGCAGCAACUACUCUCAGGUGUUAGGAUUUUCUUGAAGGUGUAUUCAACAAUCUCAUUUGCUAAGCUUGCAAAUUAUAUGGAAGUGGAUGAACCCACUCUACGAACUAUAUUGAUUACAUAUAAACACAAGACACAUGCUGUCGAUGCAGAUGGAAAGAUCAUCUCAAAUGCAGAUAUCGAUUUCUUUGUAGAUGAUGACAUGAUUCAUGUUGUUGAAUCCAAACCUGGAAAGAGAUAUGGAGAUUAUUUCUUGCGCCAGAUUGUCAAGCUUGAAAGCAUGAUGAAUGACAUGGACAGAGUUAAGCUGGAAUAACUGCACUGUCUUCUUGAUUUGUCUGUCCCCUCUGCCGGCUCUCUUUCUUUGAAGAUCGGUUGGAUCGUGUGCGGUCAGACAUGGGGUCGUGCGACAAAGACGGGCCGGUGUCAAUUGCACGACCAAUGAUUGAGCGACAGCUGGUUUGAUUGUUUCCCACUUAUUACGUACCUCCGUCACUUGAUCUUCUUCCCGGUUGGUGGCCGGUUGGUGGUUCGACGAGACCCAUCCUCAUACGACAACGCGUUUUGAGGUGCCGAGCAAUCACCAUUUCGGCUUGUCCCGCCAGUACAAGCACCAACACCAAGUGUGAUUUCGUUGGACCCCAAAAGAGAAUGUGAAAAUUUGCUUCCAUGAUGAUCUUUUGAAAAGUUUCUCUAACGACAGGAUUUGCCAUGACUCCACCCGCUCGACUGUGGCCGAAACGUGCACCGAAAGUCGCAUCCGAUGACAUCCGUCUUUGCAUUACUUGUAAAUUUCGUCUUUGAGAGUCUGUCCGUCACGUUGAUUACCCUUUUUCUUUCUUGCGAUUACGUGGCUCUUGGAAUUGUUCUGACA